This 628-nucleotide long non-coding RNA is filed under the name Vitis vinifera (wine grape). RNAcentral's name for it is "long non-coding RNA (VVIN_LNC002609)". Lineage: Eukaryota; Viridiplantae; Streptophyta; Magnoliopsida; Vitales; Vitaceae. The record is from RNAcentral.
CAAAAAGCCCGCGGCCCGCGGCCCGCUUUAGGCCCGGCCCGGCCCAAGCCCGCCGGGCCCGAGCCCGGCCCGAGCCCGUUUAUGGGCGGGCCAGGCCGCGGGCCUAAAAUUAGGCCCGGCCCGACCCGUAGGCCCGCCCUUAGGCCCGCCCAUUUAAAAAAAAAACUACAAAAAUAAAAAGUAUUAAAAAAAAUAUUCAUUUCAAAAUUUUAUUCAUUGAAUGUAUAAUUACAUUUAAAAAUGUGGGAAAAUUUUACAUCACUACAAAAUAAAUACAUCCCAACUAGGUUGACACCUAUUUAUUUGUCAAUCAUUUGUAUUUUUCAACCACAAAAAAUAAAAAUAAAAAUAUAAUAUACAUUUAGUCAUUAUUUUCUGGCGAUGAUGGCGAACUAUCAUGCAUUCAUGAAGAUCUUGAUAGUUUUAAAGAUUCCAUAUCGAUAAGCAUCUCUGUUUCUCGAAUGGAAUCGUACAUCCUUUUUUCUGCAAUUUCCCAAUCUUUUACACAUAUCCCUGCUUCAAUAACGUCUGGCGCUAAGUUGCAUCGUUUUUUAUUAAUAACUCUUCCACCUGCACUAAAAGCAGCUUCUGAUGCAACUGUACUCACAGGAACUGUUAGUACAUCACG